This 253-nucleotide ribosomal RNA is filed under the name uncultured bacterium. RNAcentral describes it as "partial 16S ribosomal RNA". It matches the Rfam family "Bacterial small subunit ribosomal RNA", at positions 524 to 776 of the family's 1533-position model. The record is from RNAcentral.
UACGUAGGGUGCAAGCGUUGUCCGGAAUUAUUGGGCGUAAAGAGCUCGUAGGCGGUCUGUCGCGUCUGCUGUGAAAACUCAGGGCUUAACCCUGAGCUUGCAGUGGGUACGGGCAGACUAGAGUGCGGUAGGGGAGACUGGAAUUCCUGGUGUAGCGGUGAAAUGCGCAGAUAUCAGGAGGAACACCGGUGGCGAAGGCGGGUCUCUGGGCCGUAACUGACGCCGAGGAGCGAAAGCAUGGGGAGCGAACAGG